UACAGAGGUCCCAAGCGUUGUUCGGAUUCACUGGGCGUAAAGGGUGCGUAGGCGGUCGGGUAAGUCUGUCGUGAAAUCUCCGAGCCCAACUCGGAAACUGCGUCGGAUACUAUUCGGCUAGAGGAAUGGAGGGGAGACUGGAAUUCUCGGUGUAGCAGUGAAAUGCGUAGAUAUGCGGAGGAACACCGAUGGCGAAGGCAAUCCCCUGGGCCUGCACUGACGCUCAUGCACGAAAGCGUGGGGAGCAAACAGG
Molecule: ribosomal RNA, 253 nt
Filed under: uncultured bacterium
Lineage: Bacteria
Also listed under: 1 other name
Description: partial 16S ribosomal RNA
Rfam family: Bacterial small subunit ribosomal RNA
Source: RNAcentral